UCCUACGGGAGGCAGCAGUGAGGAAUAUUGGUCAAUGGUCGGGAGACUGAACCAGCCAAGCCGCGUGAGGGAUGAAGGUACAGAGUAUCGUAAACCUCUUUUGUCAGGGAACAAAGGCGGGGACGUGUCCCCGGAUGAGUGUACCUGAAGAAAAGGCAUCGGCUAACUCCGUGCCAGCAGCCGCGGUAAUACGGAGGAUGCGAGCGUUAUCCGGAUUUAUUGGGUUUAAAGGGUGCGCAGGCGGUCUGUUAAGUCAGCGGUCAAAGCCCGGGGCUCAACCCCGGCCCGCCGUUGAAACGGGCAGG
RNAcentral lists this ribosomal RNA (305 nucleotides) under uncultured bacterium. RNAcentral's name for it is "bacterial SSU rRNA". It matches the Rfam family "Bacterial small subunit ribosomal RNA", at positions 337 to 640 of the family's 1533-position model. The record is from RNAcentral.